GAUGAACGCUGGCGGCGUGCCUAAUACAUGCAAGUCGAGCGAACAGAUGAGGAGCUUGCUCCUCUGACGUUAGCGGCGGACGGGUGAGUAACACGUGGAUAACCUCCUAUAAGACUGGGAUAACUUCGGGAAACCGGAGCUAAUACCGGAUAAUAUAUUGAACCGCAUGGUUCAAUAGUGAAAGACGGUUUUGCUGUCACUUAUAGAUGGAUCCGCGCCGCAUUAGCUAGUUGGUAAGGUAACGGCUUACCAAGGCAACGAUGCGUAGCCGACCUGAGAGGGUGAUCGGCCACACUGGAACUGAGACACGGUCCAGACUCCUACGGGAGGCAGCAGUAGGGAAUCUUCCGCAAAGGGCGAAAGCCUGACGGAGCAACGCCGCGUGAGUGAUGAAGGUCUUCGGAUCGUAAAACUCUGUUAUUAGGGAAGAACAAAUGUGUAAGUAACUAUGCACGUCUUGACGGUACCUAAUCAGAAAGCCACGGCUAACUACGUG
Molecule: ribosomal RNA, 496 nt
Filed under: uncultured bacterium
Lineage: Bacteria
Description: partial 16S ribosomal RNA
Rfam family: Bacterial small subunit ribosomal RNA
Source: RNAcentral